AUGCAAGUCGAGCGGACAGAUUGGAGCUUGCUCCCUGAUGUUAGCGGCGGACGGGUGAGUAACACGUGGGUAACCUGCCUGUAAGGCUGGGAUAACUCCGGGAAACCGGGGCUAAUACCGGAUGGUUGUCUGAACCGCAUGGUUCAGACAUAAAAUGUGGCUUCGGCUACCACUUACAGAUGGGCCCGCGGCGCAUUAGCUAGUUGGUGAGGUAACGGCUCACCAAGGCGACGAUGCGUAGCCGACCUGAGAGGGUGAUCGGCCACACUGGGACUGAGACACUGCCCAGACUCCUACGGGAGGCAGCAGUAGGGAAUCUUCCGCAAUGGGCGAAAGUCUGACGGAGCAACGCCGCGUGAGUGAUGAAGGUUUUCGGAUCGUAAAGCUCUGUUGUCAGGGAAGAACAAGUGCCGUUCAAAUAGGGCGGCACCUUGACGGUACCUAGCCAGAAAGCCACGGCUAACUACGUGCCAGCAGCCGCGGUAAUACGUAGGUGGCAAGCGUUGUCCGGAAUUAUUGGGCGUAAAGAGCUCGCAGGCGGUUUCUUAAGUCUGAUGUGAAAGCCCCGGGCUCAACCGGGGAGGGUCAUUGGAAACUGGGGAACUUGAGUGCAGAAGAGGAGAAUGGAAUUCCACGUGUAGCGGUGGAAUGCGUAGAGAUGUGGAGGAACACCAGUGGCGAAAGCGACUCUCUGGUCUGUAACUGACGCUGAGGAGCGAAAGCGUGGGGAGCGAACAGGGUUAGAUACCCUGGUAGUCCACGCCGUAAACGAUGAGUGCU
Molecule: ribosomal RNA, 780 nt
Filed under: uncultured bacterium
Lineage: Bacteria
Description: bacterial SSU rRNA
Rfam family: Bacterial small subunit ribosomal RNA
Source: RNAcentral